UACGGAGGGGGCGAGCGUUAUUCGGAAUUAUUGGGCGUAAAGGGCGCGUAGGCGGCUUGACAAGUCAAAGGUGAAAUCCCUCGGCUCAACUGAGGAACUGCCUUUGAAACUGUCUGGCUUGAGUCCGGGAGGGGGUAGCGGAAUUCCCAGUGUAGCGGUGAAAUGCGUAGAUAUUGGGAGGAACACCAGUGGCGAAGGCGGCUACCUUGACCGGAACUGAUGCUGAUGCGCGAAAGCGUGGGUAGCAAACAGG
Molecule: ribosomal RNA, 253 nt
Filed under: uncultured bacterium
Lineage: Bacteria
Description: partial 16S ribosomal RNA
Rfam family: Bacterial small subunit ribosomal RNA
Source: RNAcentral